Molecule: long non-coding RNA, 1911 nt
Filed under: Amborella trichopoda
Lineage: Eukaryota; Viridiplantae; Streptophyta; Magnoliopsida; Amborellales; Amborellaceae
Description: long non-coding RNA (ATRI_LNC003910)
Source: RNAcentral
UCUAUUCCAAUGUCAUCCGCUCAUCUACUAGAACCUUCUCAGCUGUAUUGUUACAUAAUUUGUCUUCAUGGAUUGUUCUAUCUAGGAAAUCAUCAUGUUUCGCAUUCCUUGGAAAGGCAUAACCUGGAACGACAUUUUUCACUGUGCAGAUGAUUUGUCUCCCCCAUAUCUGGUAAGUUACAUAGCUCUCUCUCGAUUUGACAGUCCCGUACCCUUCUUACUUCCAGUUGUAGUUUCAUCAGAGUUCAAGACAGGCAUUGACUGAACAGACUGGGUACCAUUGCUCCCAUAAACUUCCACAACUGCAUCAUCUCAGGCUUCUUUUGUAGUUUGUGACAAACCAUCUGUUGAGUAUGAUAGAAGGAACUAUUUGGUAAAUUCCUCCCUAGAAUGUCUUACAAAUGUGUCAUCAUCAUCAUUUUAGCCUUUUCUCAAUUAAUUGGGGUCGGCUGUCUUUCAAAUGUGCGAUCGACAAAAUUCUUUUCCUCUUCAUUUUCAAGGGUUUUUCAAAUUCAUUAACAACCACUAUUGCUUCUAUCAAAUUCUGGAAUCUAGUUCAACAAUAACCUGCUCUGGAUCAUUAACAGCCAAUAGACCUCAAACCAAGGCUUGUAUACUCAAGUUCAAAUUUGAAGAGCCAUUCAACAAUUCUUUUGACCUAUUGAGUUGGAUGGUAUCUAUGCCCCAAUUUCUAUUCUCAGAUUUGCAAUGAAUAAAACUUGGUAAUCUAUUCAGAUUUUUGCUCCAGCUCUCUCGUUAAAUUGAUGCUCCUAUUGACUUACUAUCAACAAUUUCCAAUUUUAGAUAUAGUCUUUACCAUAACAUGCAUGUUCCCUUUAUGCUUCAAUGCUUGACAAUCAUGCAAUACUGUGAUUUUUGAUUCGAGGUCGCACUCUCCCUUUCUGAACUGUACAUCUUAUAUAUGAGGAAGCAAAUGCUCACAUAAACCUAUUCAAAUGGAUUUCCGAAAAUGGAUGCUUAUUUUGAUAAAAAGUUAGCUGUAAUGCUUUGCAUAUGUUUUUAGUAUCUUUAUGUGGCCUAUGCUAUUGUCAUAUGAUUGCUAUACUCUAGUUCAAAAUGGAAAAGGCGAUGGUAAAUGGCAUUGGGCAAUAAUAUUGGAUGGGGUUAUAGAAAAUGAAUACAAUAAAAAAAUACUCACAGAGGUCAGAAUACAUACUUAAUAGAAAUAAGGGUAAUAAUAUGCUCUUUUGAAACUUGAGCAGAAUUUUCUGAUGGACUGCAGUAUAGGUUAGAAUGGCCGAACAUGAAAUAUAUCUAGUUUGCAGGAUGCUCCAAUCUAGAGCUUCUGUGUGAGAACUAAUGUCAGAAAUUUUCAAACCAAACUAAUCCUAGUGCAUUUUUAAAUUUUUCUUGAACUGCUGUAGUAAACUUCUGCUACCAGUAAUGUUGGCCAAACUUCAACUUUUGAAACGUCAGUAGGUCUUUUAAAGUGGUGCCCACUGGAAUGUGAAUCAUUCUUCUUUAUAUGAUAUUUUAUUAACAUAUGUUCUCACUUCUGGUAUUUGUUUAGUGUUUUUUAUGACAUUUUACUUUUUGAUUGGCUUUAUGCCUGAUUUAACACUUAAUUGUCACCUGGUGUGCAUUGGUGAGUAGAGGAGCAUCUAGUCUCCCACAAAAAAGAUUCCCUUUUUGGGUUGGAUUUGAGGGGCUGAAUUCUGAAGAGUUAUGGAUGAACUGGUCGACAAAAAAGUUUCCCUUUUUAGGUUUGGAUUCGAGCGACUGGAUUCUAGAGAGUUAUGGAUGAACCGGUUAAAAUGAGGUUAACUCAGUGACAACAAAAGGUGGGGAGGGAUCGAAGGGGUUAGGAGAGUGCUCCUAGAUUGUUAUCUGCUCAGACUAUUGGUACAUUCACAUGGUUGAAUUAUUUAUGGCAAUAUUUAUUCUUGUAUU